Long non-coding RNA from Strigops habroptila (Kakapo), 2089 nucleotides. Lineage: Eukaryota; Metazoa; Chordata; Aves; Psittaciformes; Psittacidae. The record is from Ensembl.
UUUUUUUUUUACAUCUACUGUAGCUUUUCAGUUUAGACUUUAUAAAAGGCUAGUUCCUUACAGUUCUGCCUGAAGUUAAUCUUUCUCAGCAUUAAGGUGUUAAAAUUAUGAAGAUGCUGAAAUGCUUAGUAUCAAGACUGUAAUCUAACUUCUGAAUAUACUGCUAAAUCCGUAUUUGUGCCCUCAGGUCCCUAGGGGAAACUGGUUUGAUUAAUAUGGUUCCUUAAAACAAAAGUGGUGACCCCUUGUGUUUUCAAGCCUCUUGGUCUCAUUCCCUGUCUGCUCCUCAAUCCCAUUUUUUUUUAAUGAGUUGAUGGGAUUGAAUUUGUUUAGUUUGUAAAUAUGUUGAUUAUUCACCUUGUUAAGGUACAUGGUAAAUGACUGUAUGAUUGGAGCUGACCCUCCCUCACCUAAAUUCUUGUGGAGAAGUUGGUUACCAAAAUAGUGCUCGUUACACUCGCUUAAAAACAAACUAUCCUUUUCAUUACACUUAUAGGAAUAAAUAAAGCAAUGUUUUAAUUCAUUACUAUAUUAAAAACAGGAUAUUUUUUCAAACAUCUUUGUACUAGUAUGGUUGUUGCAUUGAUAAUCCUGAGCCCUGUUUUAGGAUUUUAUACAUUCUGAGGUGAACACUUAUUUUUUCAGCAUCUCAAGAGAGAUUCGAAUAAAAGCAGUGUGAGAGAAGUUCUGGUACAGGAGAAAUCAACUCAGAAGAAUUCGAGAAGUUCUUUAAAAUUAUCCAGAAGUUUAAGUAUAAAUGUGUAGCAUGGAUUUGGAAUAUAUGCAUAUAAAUUCCUAUAAGCGCGUACAUGGAUUUAUAUCCAAAUCUAAACACAGACCCAUAUAAAUCCAGCUGCUUUGAUCAUUCAGAAUAGUCUUACAUCCUGACAUAACAGACUUAGCAUUUCCCAGGAUGCUGGAUUAUUAACUGGUGCAGUUUCUAAAUUGUGUUUGAUGCCCGAUGACAUUCAGUUGGACACUCCUUGCUGGCUUAUACAUCUUUAAGAAUUUUGUUUGGCCUAAUCAAUUAAAGUAUGAAUGGAAAGAACUUCAUCCUCACAAGUGUAUGGAUGUAAACAUACAUAUAUACAUGUAUAUGUGUAUCUAUAUGUAUGAAAGCACAGACAAGAUACUUGUAUUAAAUAUGUAUCCCCCUUGCUAUACUGGGGGUGAUAAUUUGGAAGGUUAUUGAGAUUUUGACAAUCUUUACUCUGGGUGAAAAUCAUGACCUUGAUUGCUUGCCCAAAGACAAAAUGUCAAUUUUGUAUGUUCCUGUGCUUAUGUACAUAAGAAUAUGUACAUAUACACAUGCCCUGUAAAGACACUAUCCUGCCUUGGUUUAACAAGCUAAAUUACUGUACUAUAGCAUAUAUAGUAUUAUGAAAGUGUGGUAAGGUGUAAAGCAGAUGAGGGAUUUGGUAAAUAAUGAACAGAAAGAAUAAUCACCCUUGUGACUCCUGUUGGUCACAUAUUGCAUUUAAAUUUACUAAAUAGAAAGUCAUUUGGUAAUUCAAGUUCGUCACCAAAGUUGUCUAGUAUAAAUGCAGUGGAAAUGCUGCCUGUGAGGUUGGGUCACACAGUUGUGUAAUUGGUACUUUUCCAUUUGCCAGAUGCUAUUGGAAACUUCUAAAUUCAUACACCAGUUUUAGAAAGAUUCUUGGGUUGUAGAAUAUUUGCUUCAUUACCUCUCUCAGAUUUAGGUUUUCUCUGCUGGUUUGCCCAUCUUUUGCUAAUGUUGUGUGAGAAAGUGCAUGUUCAGACUGCUUGAAGGUCAUGUUUGCUCAUGUACAUGAGUUAGUAAUUAGUACUCUAACAGUCUAGCUGGUUAUUGCUUAAACCCAUUGUGUCACCUGGAAUUCAAGUAUCAUCUUUAAUCCUGGGAGUUUGAAAAAUAUCUUUUAUUUAACAAAUAGAAAAAUUGGGAGGCUAUUUUUUUCUUUUUUUUUUAACCCCAAAUUAAAUGUCUGAAUCAGUACAAACCAGUCUUUAUAUCUGGAUGCAAUUAAGAGGUUAGCCUAGAAAUAGUCGGUAUCACACCCUGGUUGUAUCAAAUCGGCACGCCAGAAUAGCUUCUAAUUAGAAAUGUGCA